This 65-nucleotide transfer RNA is filed under the name Euplax sp. Its description in RNAcentral is "tRNA-Pro". Lineage: Eukaryota; Metazoa; Arthropoda; Malacostraca; Decapoda; Macrophthalmidae. The record is from RNAcentral.
CAGAAAAUAGUUUAAAAAAAAUAUUAACUUUGGGAGUUAGCGAUAAAAUGUUAUUUUUUUUCUGA